UGGCGAACGGGUGAGUAACGCGUGAGGAACCUGCCUCAAAGAGGGGGACAACAGUUGGAAACGACUGCUAAUACCGCAUAAGCCCACGGGUCGGCAUCGACCAGAGGGAAAAGGAGCAAUCCGCUUUGAGAUGGCCUCGCGUCCGAUUAGCUAGUUGGUGAGGUAAUGGCCCACCAAGGCAACGAUCGGUAGCCGGACUGAGAGGUUGAACGGCCACAUUGGGACUGAGACACGGCCCAGACUCCUACGGGAGGCAGCAUG
This 261-nucleotide ribosomal RNA is filed under the name uncultured bacterium. Its description in RNAcentral is "partial 16S ribosomal RNA". It matches the Rfam family "Bacterial small subunit ribosomal RNA", at positions 96 to 353 of the family's 1533-position model. The record is from RNAcentral.